Non-coding RNA from Daedaleopsis nitida, 96 nucleotides. The record is from the annotation of a GenBank genome assembly. Lineage: Eukaryota; Fungi; Basidiomycota; Agaricomycetes; Polyporales; Polyporaceae.
GUCCUUGUCGAUUAGUGGUUAGAUCAUCACGUUGUGGGUGCCGACUGGUGGCAUUGCAAAUCCGUGAAGACGCAGGCUCGAAUCCUGCCUGGGACA